AUGUUAGUGAACUGUCAUUCCAUUGUUGCGGACGAGCUCGCGGGCGUGCUCCGCCACGUUGGUGGCCUCGACGGUGUACACCUUCCUGGCGCCGGCCUGAGCGCUCCAGAUAGCGAGGAUGCCGCUCCCGGUGUCGACGUCAAGAACCACCUAACAGAUCCACCGAAUCAAUCAAGACGGAGCCCCAAAUUACGGCAAACCUCAGACCUCCGGCGAUUUGUGGGGACGGGGGAGCGGGGAGGGGCGGUUUGUCUCACCUUGCCGCGGAAGUGGUGGGGUUUGCGCGAGACGGCGGAGUGGUAG
RNAcentral lists this ribosomal RNA (303 nucleotides) under Triticum aestivum (bread wheat). RNAcentral's name for it is "partial small subunit ribosomal RNA". The record is from RNAcentral. Lineage: Eukaryota; Viridiplantae; Streptophyta; Magnoliopsida; Poales; Poaceae.